This 205-nucleotide microRNA precursor is filed under the name Oryza barthii. RNAcentral describes it as "MIR812 microRNA precursor family". It matches the Rfam family "MIR812 microRNA precursor family". Lineage: Eukaryota; Viridiplantae; Streptophyta; Magnoliopsida; Poales; Poaceae. The record is from Rfam by way of RNAcentral.
AAUAAGUGCAGCCAUGAGUUUUCGCGCCCAACUUUAAUCGUCCGUCUUAUUUGAAAUUUUUUUAUGAUUAGUAUUUUUGUUGUUAUGAUAUGAUAAAAUAUGAAUAGUACUUUACUCGUGGCUUAUUUUUUAAAGUUUUUUCAAAAAAUUUUUAAAUAAAACGAACGAUUAAAAUUGGACACGGAAACUCAUGGCUGCACUUAUU